RNAcentral lists this ribosomal RNA (440 nucleotides) under uncultured bacterium. Its description in RNAcentral is "partial 16S ribosomal RNA". It matches the Rfam family "Bacterial small subunit ribosomal RNA", at positions 338 to 795 of the family's 1533-position model. The record is from RNAcentral.
CCUACGGGAGGCUGCAGUGGGGAAUAUUGCACAAUGGGGGAAACCCUGAUGCAGCCACGCCGCGUGAGUGAAGAAGUCCUUCGUUAUGUAAAGCUCUUUCAGCAGGGAAGAAAAUGACGGUACCUGAGUAAUAAGCCCCGGCUAACUACGUGCCAGCAGCCGCGGUAAUACGCAGGGGGCAAGCGUUAUCCGGAUUUACUGGGCGUAAAGGGAGCGUAGACGGCAGAGUAAGUCAGAGGUGAAAGGCCGGGGCUCAACCACAGGACUGCUCUGGAUACUGUACGGCUGGAGUGCAGUAGAGGUAAGUGGAAUUCCUGGUGUAGCGGUGAAAUGCGUAGAUAUCAGGAGGAACACCAGUGGCGAAGGCGGCUUACUGGACUGUAACUGACGUUGAGGCUCGAAAGCGUGGGGAGCAAACAGGAUUAGAUACCCUUGUAGUC